CCUACGGGGAGCAGCAGUGAGGAAUAUUGGUCAAUGGGCGGGAGCCUGAACCAGCCAAGCCGCGUGAGGGAAGAAGGUACAGCGUAUCGUAAACCUCUUUUGUCAGGGAACAAAGGCGGGGACUAGUCCCCGGAUGAGGGUACCUGAAGAAAAAGCAUCGGCUAACUCCGUGCCAGCAGCCGCGGUAAUACGGAGGAUGCGAGCGUUAUCCGGCUUUAUUGGGUUUAAGGGGUGCGCAGGCGGCCUGUUAAGUCAGCGGGAAAAGCCCGGGGCUCAACCCCGGCGAGCCGUUGAAACUGGCGGGCUGGAGUUGGAGAGAAGUACGCGGAAUGCGCGGUGUAGCGGUGAAAUGCUUAGAUAUCGCGCAGAACCCCGAUUGCGAAGGCAGCGUACCGGCUCCACACUGACGCUGAGGCACGAAAGCGUGGGUAUCGAACAGGAUUAGAUACCCUAGUAGUC
Molecule: ribosomal RNA, 459 nt
Filed under: uncultured bacterium
Lineage: Bacteria
Description: partial 16S ribosomal RNA
Rfam family: Bacterial small subunit ribosomal RNA
Source: RNAcentral